CCUACGGGUGGCAGCAGUGGGGGAUAUUGCACAAUGGAGGAAACUCUGAUGCAGCGACGCCGCGUGAGGGAAGACGGUCUUCGGAUUGUAAACCUCUGUCUUUGGGGAAGAAAAUGACGGUACCCAAAGAAUAAGCUCCGGCUAACUACGUGCCAGCAGCCGCGGUAAUACGUAGGGAGCGAGCGUUAUCCGGAAUUACUGGGUGAAAAGGGAGCGUAGGCGGGCGAGAAAGUUGAAUGUUAAAUCUACGGGCUUAACUGGUAGCUGCGUUCAAAACUUCUUGUCUUGAGUGAAGUAGAGGCAGGCGGAAUUCCUAGUGUAGCGGUGAAAUGCGUAGAUAUUAGGAGGAACACCAGUGGCGAAGGCGGCCUGCUGGGCUUUAACUGACGCUGAGGCUCGAAAGCGUGGGGAGCAAACAGGAUUAGAUACCCGUGUAGUC
This 439-nucleotide ribosomal RNA is filed under the name uncultured bacterium. RNAcentral's name for it is "partial 16S ribosomal RNA". It matches the Rfam family "Bacterial small subunit ribosomal RNA", at positions 338 to 795 of the family's 1533-position model. The record is from RNAcentral.